UAAAAUGAUGAUACAACCACAAUGCUUGAAGAGUAACAUCGCUGUGAGCAUUAUGAUUUCUCAAUAGACUACAACGGUAUCUGAUA
RNAcentral lists this small nucleolar RNA (86 nucleotides) under Lachancea lanzarotensis. Its description in RNAcentral is "Small nucleolar RNA snR79". It matches the Rfam family "Small nucleolar RNA snR79". The record is from Rfam by way of RNAcentral. Lineage: Eukaryota; Fungi; Ascomycota; Saccharomycetes; Saccharomycetales; Saccharomycetaceae.